GUCUUUUUGAGAUUUUUUUAAAGUCUAGCCUGCCCCCUGAUUUUUUUAUUAAAUGGCCGCAGUAUUUUAACUGUGCAAAGGUAGCAUAAUCAUUAGUCUUUUAAUUGAAGGCUGGUAUGAACGGUUGGACGAAGUAUAUACUGUUUCAUAUAUAUUUAUAUUAGAAUUUUAUUUUUUAGUUAAAAAGCUAAAAUGAGAUUAAAAGACGAGAAGACCCUAUAAAUCUUUAUAUUUUUUGUAAUUUAAACUUAUUGAAUUUUGUUUGUUUUUAUGCAGUAAAGUAUUUUGUUGGGGUGAUAUUAAAAUUUAAUGAACUUUUAAUUAUUUUUAAUCAUUAAUUUAUGAAUUGUUGAUCCAUUAGUAGUGAUUAUGAGAUUAAGUUACUUUAGGGAUAACAGCGUAAUUUUUUUGGAGAGUUCUUAUCAAUAAAAAAGUUUGCGACCUCGAUGUUGGAUUAAGAGAUAGAGUUAGGUGUAGCUGCUUAAUUACUAAGUCUGUUCGACUUUUAAAUUCUU
This 515-nucleotide ribosomal RNA is filed under the name Dacus bistrigulatus. RNAcentral's name for it is "partial 16S ribosomal RNA". The stretch from base 391 to 515 matches the Rfam family "Bacterial large subunit ribosomal RNA", at positions 2473 to 2597 of the family's 2925-position model. Lineage: Eukaryota; Metazoa; Arthropoda; Insecta; Diptera; Tephritidae. The record is from RNAcentral.